RNAcentral lists this long non-coding RNA (6774 nucleotides) under Cicer arietinum (chickpea). RNAcentral's name for it is "long non-coding RNA (CARI_LNC001705)". Lineage: Eukaryota; Viridiplantae; Streptophyta; Magnoliopsida; Fabales; Fabaceae. The record is from RNAcentral.
GGUGGCAGUGACACACUGCAAGAAAGGUCGUGGUCUCAUUAAGAUCAAUGGCUGCCCAAUCGAACUCAUCGAGCCUGAGAUUCUCCGUUUCAAGGCAUAUGAGCCAAUCCUCCUUCUCGGAAGGCACCGUUUCGCCGGCGUCGAUAUGAGGAUCAGAGUGAAGGGAGGAGGACACACUUCUCAGAUCUAUGCCAUCAGACAGAGUAUCGCGAAGGCUUUGGUUGCAUACUAUCAGAAAUAUGUGGAUGAACAGAGUAAGAAGGAGAUCAAGGAUAUUCUUGUCCGUUAUGAUCGUACUCUUCUUGUUGCUGAUCCUAGACGCUGUGAGCCUAAGAAGUUUGGUGGUCGUGGUGCUCGUGCUAGGUUCCAGAAAUCUUAUCGUUAAAUUAUUUUCUAUUUACUGUACUUUUUUCUUUCGGAUAAUGAUAGUCUUUCAUGAUUUUCAGUACUCUCUGAAUUGCUAUGCUCUUUUUUUAAUUGAGAUUGCGAUUUUAAUGCAAUUCUUACAAAACAGUUUUGCUUAAUUUUAUUGUGUGCAUGCUUAUUAUAAUUACUGUAUUUUUUAUCCUUUUUAACUGGAAUUUGUUUGCGUUUGAAUUGGUAGUACAGUUGAAAUGAUGUUUGUUUUUAGGAACGAAUUUAGGUGUAAAUGCAAUUGCAAAGUUGUGAAGGUUAGGGGUAAUGAUAAGUUGUUGACAGUGUACACUCAUGAAGAAUGAAUUAGACAUUCAUAAAAAUGAAGAAGAAAAUUGAUAAAUAUAUUUGCAAGGGCUCUGACCUUUGAAUCUCAACAAAUUCUUUGAUAUCCUUCUCUGUAGUAGCCACUGAUACAUUGCUUACCUUAACUGUUUUUAUCUUCCAAAAGUAAAAAAUAAAUCAACUUUUAGAUUUCUCCAUCAAGAGAUAACUGAAAUAGAUAAACUUCUCAGUAAUUUGGCAUCAGACAAAUACCAACACAGGGCUUGUUUUGAAGGAUUAACCAAAAUUAAAGUCAAAAUUAAUAAAUACAAUUUGUCAAAUGAAACCGAAAUUUGUUUUCUUUGAGCCAGUUUGAGUCCUCUAUGCAUUUAUGGAUCUGUAGUCUAUAAUAAAAUAGUAUUAUCUGUAUUCUUAUUAUUAGUUUUCUGAUGAUGUUGUUGCAUAUGGUUUCGAGUUUUGUUGCAAAAGGCAUGCAUAUAUUCUACAAUCACAAUGAUAACCAAUACUAUUAUGUAACAAUUUCUUCCUCACAUCUGAAACUUGAAUUGUCCAAUUUGGGGUAACUGUAGAUUGGGGAAUAGCUCCAACCCCUUUAUCUGAAUGGUCUACUGGAGCCUGCACAUCAAAUGCUAAAAGUUAGGAAACAAAUGUUUAUUGAAGCUCAUGAACUAUACGCUGAUCCAAACGAACAAUUUAAUUAAACGCUUCUAGCAUAAACAUGUAAGUGAUUACUAUAAGUUAUUUCUAUGAUAAAAAUCAAAUUAAAUUGAAUUGUUUUCAUAUAAGGCGUUAGUUAUCAAAUAUAUAUAUUUUAUUAUUUAUUAAUGUUAUUUUUUAUUAUUAUAUUCAUAAUAAUAUUUUUUAUUUUAAAUUAUAUCAAUUAGACAAUCACUCGGUAAUCAUUCUAUAUUCAGUAGCCGUUCCAAAUAUUCGGUAGUCAUUCAAUUAGUCAAUCACUCAGCAAUUAGUCAAUCAUAUUUGGUCAAUCAUAUUUGCUUGAGAGGUAAUAAUUGGUGCGUUUGUUUCAGAAAAAAAUUUAUUCUUUGAAAUCAAAAAUUAUUUUCUUAGGGUUUAAGAGAUGUUUGUUUCAGAUUUUUUUUAAAUUAUUUUGUUAGAAAAAUUAUUUUUUGUUUAAUAUAUAGAGAUAUGUACAUUGAUAUUGGUAUGUGGAGAGCAUGUGGUAUGAGUAUAACAUUUAAAUAUUUUAAUGUAAAUAAGGCUUUUAAAUAGGCUUCUAGGUCAGACCAAACUUCUAAAAAGGUCAAGCCAGACUUUUCUAAAAGGUUAGGUCAGGCCAGAAAAAAAAAAACAUAUGAUAUGUCGUAGCCAGGCUUAGGCCUAAAAAAUUAAUCGUAUGACAAACUCGUGUCUUUCAAAGCUUGACUUGACCUAUUCCCACCUCUACUUGUAAAAGUCUCAUUUUGAAUAACUUUAAAAUGAAUUAAAAUUUCUCUAAUGAGAAUUGUGAGAGAGAUGUAUAUCUUCUUUGAGUUCUUGAAUUAGAAUUUGUUUGAAUCUUAUCAAUGUAUUUCUUACCAUUGUGGCGAUUCCACAUUGACUUAUCAAUCAUCCUUGAUUGUGGCGUCUUCUUAAUUUUCUUUAUCUAACCUAUGUUUAUUUGUUUUUGUUUUUUUCCUUUUAUUUUAUCACUUUAUCUCAAUAAAUCACUUGGGCAGAUCUUCAAUCUCAUGUAGAAGUACUCAAAUCCACAUCACUCUUACUUAUUUUCGAUUCUAUAAAAUUUAUGUAUAUUUUUUUUCAAUAAAAAAUAAGUUAGAGAUAAAAAGUAUGCAUACUUAGUUUAGUUUGUGAAUUAAAGAACAACAAAUUUAAUAAAAACGUCUCACAUUCAAAUAAAAAAAAAAAUUAACAUAACAACUAAUUAACUGCUAUUUUCUUAUAAAAAAUGGAAGAUCAUAAAAUAUUAAAAAAGACAUCUUAAUUUUUUGGUGAAAUAUAAAGGUGCAGCAUCUUGUUUUAUUUAUGUGUUUCUUUCUACAAAUUCAUUAAUAAAAAUUGAACAAAUCUCACACAAUUAAUCUCUGACUUUUAAAUUAAAAGAUACAUUUAAAAAAAAAUCAUAGAACAUUUAGUCAACACUAAACCGCCAAUUUAAGUAUGUUUUAAAAGUUUUAAGCUAUAAUAAAAUAGGAGACAUUAAAUUUGUGUUGAUAUUUUGUUCUCUUCAAUUUGAUUUUAUGGUGAAAUCAAAAUGUCCCACGUCUUGUUUUAAUUUUAUGUUUGGUUGUACAAAUAUACACCAUAUAUACAAUACAUUCAUAGAACAUAUAGUUAGGCUCUGAUUGAGGAGAUGAAAGCGAUUGAUAUUAAAAUUCUUGUUUUAAUGGAUGCAAAUACAAUUUUAUGUAUGUUGUGCUUGUGGUAACAAGAAAAAGUGGUACAUCAUUUUGGUACAUGAAACUUCUCUAUGUUUAUUUGGUAUGUGUAUUUCGUCGUCUAGGGAUAUCUUUGGUCAUGUAUGGGAAUUGGCUAUUCUUUUUUUGUUUUUCUUGUAGCCUUCUAAGCCCCUAAAUGUAAAGUUAUGAAGUGAUUUAUUAUUAUUUGACACUUGUGAGAAAUUUAAGUAUUUUAAAAUGAGUGUAUUAUUUCUAAGAAAAAUUAUUAUUACCAGGGAUUAGACACAUGAAAUAGGUCCGUCGAUUUUGACACUAGUAAUUACAUGAUUUCUGCCAAAGUCGAAAUGAUGAUAUUUAGUUAAUUGAUAAAACCAUAUUUUGUAAGAUUUAAAAAAAAUUUAUUUUAUUUUAUCUUAUUUUGUAAUUUUGUUUCAGAUUUUUUUUUAUUUCAUUUAAUUAUGAGAAAAUAAAAGAAUACAAACUGUUAAAAUCUUGUCAAAUUUAAAUGCAAAAAUAUAUAAGAUCCAAUCUAAAAUGAUACAAGUCUAACAUUUGAGCCAUAUAUAAUAAUACAAUAUGAGUAUAAAUUAUCAUAUAUUUAUCGUUUGUUGGUCGUACCCUGGAUUUAAAAGAGAAAGAAUACUUGCCAUAAAAAUAGAAACAAAAUUUGUUUCUAUUAUCUUGUAUUAGAGAUAAUAGCAAAAAAAAAAAAAAAUAUAUAUAUAUAUAUAUAUAUAUAUAUAUAUAUAUAUAUAUAUAUAUAAAAGGCGUGCAGAAUUCGAAUUAAAAUCAUAAACACUUUAAACUUUGGACUGUAUAGUGAGAACAAAGUGUCUUGUAUUUUGAAAAAAAAUAUAUUUUUUUUAGAAUUUUUUUUAAUUGAUGAAUACUUUUAUUAUUUAUUUUAUUUUCUGUAUGUCAGUAAAUAAUUAAGCUAUCUUCUAUAAUAUUUGGUGAAUCUUGUGAUUAACAUAUUUUUUAAAUAUAUCUUAGAUUUAAUUUUAGUUUUAUUUUAAAUUUUUGUUGUUUAUCUCAAUUAAAUUAUUAUGUUGUUCUAUUUAUAUGUUUGAGACGGUAAACAUUUGCAUACUUUAAUCAAUCAGUUGACUAGUGAUCAGUUAUAAUUAUUUGAUAGAUAUAUAUGAUGUUUGAGAUUAAUAUUUUUGUAUGAUGAAAUAUAUAUAUUAAUCUUUCAACAUCCUGGUUCUUUAUGCUUUCUCUUGAUUAUAUUUUUUAUAUGAUCAAUCAAAUAAUUAAUUUAAAGAAAAUAAUAUUAGAUUGAAAUAUCAAUAUUUGUUAAUAGUUUUAAUGAGGGGUUGAUAAUUGAAAAACAAACAAGGAAUCAUAUAAAACUAUUAUUUUGGGUAUUGGUGCUACAAGCCAUGACAUUAAAUUUUAUCGCCGUUUAUUUAAAGUUGUGUCGUUAUCUAUUUUUAUUUUAAUUUGUUACACUUUUGUGAUAUUUUUAUUAUCAUAAAAAAAUCAUAAUUUUUAUUAAUAUAAAUAAUAUAAAACAUUAAUUAAUUUGAUAGUUAUUCAAUAAAUUAAUGUGAAUACAAUAAUAUCAUAUAUUACUAUUUGACAAACUCGUAUAUUUAUCAAUUUUGCGCAACAUUUAUUACAAUAACACACGCAUUUACCUAUUUGUAUAUGGAUUAGGUUACAUAUUAUAUUAUUUUCAUUUCUAUCCUAUGUAAUGUAUUCAUAUUUGCCAAUCAAAAAUAAAUUGUCAUGUAGAUGAACAUUUUUUUGUGCAAUCAUGGUAGAUGGACAUUAUACUACUUGUUUGUACAAUAGAGACCACAUUUCAUUUGUCUAAACAAUGGUAGAUUUAUUCAUUUACUUUUAUAAUUGGAAAGAUUAAGUUUAUAUGAUGUCAAAAAAAGCAGUUUAUAUGUUGUCAAAAAAAUUGAAUGUAAUUUAGUUAAAUAAAAAUUAACAAGAUUUUAAAUAAAAAAAAAUAUUAUUAAAAUAAGUGACACUAAUAAUCAUAAACAUCUCUUUAAAAUUUACAAUUUGAUCAUUGAUGUUAUCCGAUCAGAUUCUCACUACUAAACAAACAUCAUAACAAUAUUAUAAAAAAUUGAAUUUAAUGAAAAAAUAUCGUUGGAAUAAUAUAAUAUUACACUGUACCAACAAUUAGAAAAUAUAAUGAAUUAGUUAAACUACUAGGAUGAGAUAAAAUGCAAUAUACCACAAAUCCUAUAAAGAUUUUGGUAAGUGUGCGAGAGUAUAUAAAAAUACAUAAAUUAAAAUUAGUUAUAUAAAAAAAACAUAAUAAAAUAUUUAUACACAUUAGCACAUUAAAGAAAUAAAACUAACAUAAAUAUUUUUAUAUUAUCAACCAAUUAUAAAACACAAUUUACAUAAAUUUUAAGUAGAUGUAAUAAAUUAAGUAACAAAAAGUUAGUUACAAUAAAAUUAAGUAAACAAAAAGUUAAAUACAAUAAAUUUAAGUAAAAAAUAGUUAGAUAUAAUAAAAUUGUCAAAUUCUUUUAAGGAUUAAACGAACAUUGACCAAUAAUAGGGGUGGUCAUGGGUACGACACAAAUUCGCUCACUCAAAUCAAUCAAAUUCGUUUAUUGAUCUAACUCAUCAAAGUUUAAGCUUAUUUCUGAAUAAAUUAAUUAAAACUUAAUUAUGUUUGAUUCGGGUAACAUAUUUAAUAUUUUAAACUCACGAACCCGAAAACUCAAUCAAUUAACGGAUAAUAUAUAUUUUUAUUUAUUUUUUUACUAUUGAUGUAUAGUUAAAAUUUAAUUGUUGGACUAUAUUUGAGAGUUUGUUGUUAAUUUAAUUAUUUGAAGUGUUUUAUUGUGUCUGUGAAUAAAUUUUAAGCAUUGAAUGAUACAUUGCGAUAUAAUUUUAUUAUUUUUUUAGAUGUUUCUAAUAUUUAAAUUUAAUUACAUUUAAAAUAAAUAAAUUAUUUACUAUCCGUGAAUCCAAUUCAACCCGUAAAUACUCAGGUUGGUUUGAUUUAAGUUAGAUGAAAAAAUUAUGAAUUGAGCUUUCAAUGCAAUAUAAAUAAAAUUGAUCGAUUCACUGUGUCAGAUUUAGUAAAAAAAGACUCAAUCUAAUUUAUGUACAUCAUUGAUCAAUAACAUAAUUAUUUUUUUACAAUGUCAAUGUUAGUAUGUAUGUAUUAAAUCUGAAAUAAAUUUAUGAAUUCAAUAUAAAUUAGUUAAAACGAUUUUCCUAAAUAAAUAUCAAAAUUGUAUUAAAUUAUUUAUUAAUUUUUGUUUCAAUAAAAGUAGAGUAAAAUAAGUCCAAAAAAAAAAAAAAAUCAAUCAAAUUUAAAAUACAAGGCACUUUACGUACUUGGAGCUUGUAGGGUAAUUUCAAUAAUUGAAGGGGCUCUUCAGUACUUUACAAAUUCCUAACCGUUAUAUAUAACCGUCACUCUGAAAUCCCAAACCCUAAUUUAUGUUUGCAUCUAUUUGCAUUGGUGUAGUUUGCGGCGGCGCGAGGGUCUAAAAUGGAGCAGGUGCAGUGCUUCGGCCGUAAGAAGAAUGCGGUGGCAGUGACACACUGCAAGAAAGGUCGUGGUCUCAUUAAGAUCAAUGGCUGCCCAAUCGAACUCAUCGAGCCUGAGAUUCUCCGUUUCAAGGCCUAUGAGCCCAUUCUCCUUCUCGGAAGGCACCGUUUCGCCGGUGUCGAUAUGAGGAUCAGAGUGAAGGGAGGAGGACAUACUUCUCAGAUCUAUGCCAUCAGACAGAGC